UCCGUAGACUGUAGAAUCAGUUCCUAGUUAAAGAUCAAAGCUUAACUUUGAAAUAGCUUCGAAUACUGUUCUACUUGAGUUUUAUACAGAAGACUAGAAUUCUAUACGGAAGGGUAAAAUCUGUAGAUAUAUAGAGGAAUAUCAGUAGCGAAGGCGAGUCUUUAAGUAAAAACUGACGUUGAGGGACGAAAGUAUGGGUAGCAAACA
This 207-nucleotide ribosomal RNA is filed under the name uncultured bacterium. RNAcentral's name for it is "partial 16S ribosomal RNA". It matches the Rfam family "Bacterial small subunit ribosomal RNA", at positions 568 to 774 of the family's 1533-position model. The record is from RNAcentral.